GUAAAGGGUCCACUUGGCACUUCUUUCAAGAGAAGACAAUAUUUUAAGGACAAUCUUAAGGUUGUAGAACCUGUGGAAUAUAUUUUGGAUACUGCUGGAAGUAGAUACUAUCAGUAUGUACCUAUUCUCCAGACAUUGCAACAUGUGUUAAAUGGAAUGCACAUGAGCUUGGAAAGGUCUCCACAGUGUUCAAGUGUCUCAUCAACAUUAGAGUCUUUUGCUCAUGGCAAACAUUUCACUGAAAACUAUUUUCUUGCCGAGGAUGAAACUAAAAUCCUUCUGCUAUUAUAUGUUGAUGAUUUCGAGGUGUGCAAUCCACUUGGAACUUCAAAGAAAAAGCACAAAAUCACAGCGGUAUAUUGGGUUUUGGCAAAUAUGCCUCCAGAAUUGCGAUCUGCUCUUGCAUCAAUACAGUUGGCUGUUCUCAGCAAAGCUGAUGAUGUGAAAAGAUUUGGAUAUGAUGUCAUUUUAGAACCUCUUUUGAAUGAUCUUUGUAUAUUGGAGCAAGACGGGGUUUUCAUUGAUAGAUACGGAAAAUGUAUCAAAGGGACUGUGCUCAAUGUCAUUGCUGAUAACCUUGGUGCACAUGCAAUUGGUGGUUUAGUUGAAAGUUUUAAUGGAGAUUAUAUCUGUCGAUUUUGCCUUGGCCACCAUGCUGAAUUCCAGAAAAAGGAAGUGAGAUCAGGUGCUUUUCCUCCAAGAACUAGAGAGGGUUAUGCAAGCCAUGUUCAGACUGUGAAGGAUAAUCCUACACUGACCCAUUGCUAUGGUGUCAAAAAGGUUUGUCCGUUGACUGAGAAACUGAAACAUUUUCACUUUACUACUGGCUAUCCCCCAGACAUAGCCCAUGACUUAUUUGAAGGUGUCAUUCCUAUGGAGCUAGCACUGUGCCUCUCUGUUCUUAUAAAGAAGAAAUAUUUCACUUUAAGUGAACUCAAUAAGGAAAUUGCUUGCUUUCCUUACAAAUGGACAGACAAAACAAACAGUCCGCAGGCAAUACCUGAGCAUUUUGCUAGGCGUCGAAGUGUAGGGGGUAAUAUGCACGAGAACUGGGCUCUUAUCCGACUCCUGCCAUUCUUUAUUGGGUCCAAGAUACCUUUAGGUGAACCUGCUUGGCAGAUACUUAUGACUUUAAAAGAUAUUGUUGAACUGGUCGUGUCACCUGUUCACACUGCAGAAACUAUUGGUUAUCUGGACUCUAAAAUAUCAGAACAUCGGCAUCAUUUUCUUGAACUAUUCCCACAUGAAAGACUGCUCCCAAAACACCACUUCUUGGAGCAUUAUCCACAUCUGAUUGAAUCAUUUGGUCCAGUAGUUGGACUUUGGACCACACGCUUUGAAUCUAAGCACAGCUUUUUCAAGCGUGUAGUGAGACAUACAUCAAAUUUCAAAAAUCUGUUGCUGUCACUUGCUACAAGACAUCAGCUGAUGAUGGCUUACCACUUACAUGCAAGGCCUGAUACGACCUCAUUGUAUGUGAGCAAAGUUUCCAAUAUGCAGUUGGAGCUUCUGCAUGUAGAGGUACAGCAGGCGAUAAGAAAAAUUUCAGAUCAAGCAAGUGUCCCUUUAACCACUUCAGUAACUUACUGUGGAACAGUAUACAAACUAGGGAUGAUUCUGCCUUAUGGUUGCACUGGAGGUUUACCUGAUUUUGCUGAAAUUAUGCAAAUUGUUAUUUUGAACAAAACUAUUAGUUUCAUUGUCAAGACCUUCAGUGGCUGGUAUGAUGAGCAUCUGAGAUCUUACUAUCUUCAAUCAAGUGGUGAUGUGCGCCUUGUUGAGCUUAAGGAACUUGGUGAUUGGUAUCCUCUGGCAGCUUAUUGUUUGGGUGAAAAAUUUCUAGUCACACUGAAGCAUCAUAUCUGCUGUUCUUAUUAAAUGACAGCAUGACUGCUGUGAAGAUAUGUUUUUUCCUAACAUUUUCUGACCUUUCUGGUUAUUACAACCUAAAAUGCAUCUCAAAGAACCUGCUAAGCAAAAAGUGUACAACUGUACAAGAGGCAGUACAAAUUAUAUACAAGAGAGAGUCAGGCAUUCAACAUUCCGCGUAAGAUCCCUGAAUGCAAGUAUUGACAAUAAAGGUUAAUGAUGACUUUGAAUAUUUCGAUGAUCAGCAGAUGUCCCUAUAAAGGUUUUUCAUUUGUGGUUUAUGACUAGCUUAAUCGUGCUUUGGUCAUUGCUGUUACUUCAGAGUGAACAACUUAGGUCAGAAUCAGGCAUUUAUGGUAUAUCACUUUUCUUUUGGUCUUUACACUUUCAGAUGACAGCAUGGACCCUGCAGCACUUAGAGUACUUAUUGCACUGGAAAUCAGGAAGUUAAUUCUUCCCUCAGGAAUCCCAAAUACGUUGGAUGAACUUAAGAAGGCUGUUAAGGGGGCAUAUAAUAUCACAGAAGAUUUCUCUCUUCAGUAUAAAGAUUCUGACUUUAAUGACUUCUUUACCCUUACGUCCACUGACCAAAUUCAGCACAAGGACACAAUCAAAGUUGUAUUCCCUGCUCCUAUCAUUCUAACACUGUUUGCUGAAAAUGAAGAAAACAUCACUGCAAGUACAUCUUUCUCAGCAGAUGAAGUAUCCUCUAUUUCCUCUACUGCAUGUUCAGUUGAUGACGCUGUCCCAUGUGAAUCCACAUCCUAUGGGGAAACAGUCAUUCUUUCCCCACAAACUACCCCAGAGAGGAUGCCAUGGCCUCAAGAGUUCCCUAUUCCAAGUUUUUCUCCGGAAAUAGAGAUUCUGGUCAAAAAGGCUAUGGAGGAUUACAACAGACAUGGCAGCCUUCUAAAUGUCCAAAUUGUGAAGAAGGAUGUAAUGGACCAUUUAGUUAAGGCUAUUUACAUGUACACAUCAUAUCCUUCUGGAAAGCAGAUUGAAGGUGUGGCCGAAGCACUUAUCCGAAAAUACCCAUGUUUGAAGGAACCAGGCUCUUUCACAGGGUUUCAAGGCUGGCAAAUGAGCCUGAAGUACAAAAUGGCUGAUUACAGAAGACGACUCAGCAAAUUUGGUUUUCCUGAAGUUUUAUGUAACACAUUUAAGAAGAAGAACCCUGAGGACAGGAAGUCAGCGAAAAGUGUCAAAAAACCUCGUAAGGCAGAAGUUAAUUAUCUACCGCAAUACCCACCAGGUGAAAACCAGGACAGUUUGGAGCAAGAGAGAGUUCUACUGCUGACUGAAGUGAAAAAAAAGAAUAAUACUAUUGUGGUGAAAGACAAAAUGUCAAGAACUUUUGCUCUACGAAGACAUGAGGUGAUUGAACUGUGUCCUAGUGUUGCAGAAAUCAAAGAUCGCUGGCCUGCUCUGUUUGAUGUUCUCCAGAUUAAUGAAGAAUUUAGGAGAAUCACCACUCUGCACCUAGAAUCAAUAUUUAUGAAAAUGUUGGACCUCUACACUCCUAAACUUUUGGCAAUAUUUACUAGCAGAGGGGGAGCACUAGGCUGGAAUUUGAAGCAGAAAAUGGAUGCCCUGCUAAUGAAUCCUGAAAGAAACAUCGAUAUGACAAGAGAUAUUGUCCUCCGUUGCCUGAUCUGUUAUCUGGGUGAAAAAGAGGAUAACCUCAUCCAAGAGUACAAUUGUGACAACGGAGAUGUGCAGCAAGAUAUACUGGAGCACAUAAUGAAAAUUGCCAUCUGCAAAGGAGAUCAUCAGGAGGACAUCAGCAUCAUCUUGGAGGGGGUGCAAGUCAUGACUGGCUUGGGCAAUAUGGCUAGAGCCUGUGCUGUUCUUCUUGGCCUCACAUAUGCACUAAACCUCACCUACCCGAAAAAACUGAAGAACACAUUUGAGGCCUUUCAAAAGCUGCUCUUGGAACUCGAUGUAUGCAAGUUGUCCGGCAAAUUGCUAUCACUUAAAAACAAACUCCUCAUGACUUAGAUUGAGAUACAACGCAUUGUACCAAGUUCUGUUGAAAACGGGAUUAAGCGUUUGAGAUUGGUCUACAUGGUUUUGUUACAUCACGUUUCGCUACAAGUUGUUAUAAAAAAUCCCGAAUGUGAAACUUUCCCAAACGUUUGUGGAACAAAAAGACCAUUUUCACUUAUCUUGAAAAUGGAAGUUUUUAUGUUUAAGUCUUAAAAUUGCUUUGACGACUUGGUAGUGCAUUUUGUUUUCAAGUCAUUUUCAUCAAUACAAAUGAGGAAAUUUUACUAACCUUACUUGUGAGACAAAUAAAUAAAGCACAUUGCUUAAAUGAAACAAAGUCAUCAUGUGCCGUUGAUUGAAAAGUUAAGGGAAUUUUACAAAAAAUGUUUGUGGGACAAUUUAAAUAAAUAAAGCACAUUGCUUAAAUGAAACAAAGUCAUCAUGUGCCGUUGAUUGAAAAGUUAAGGGAAUUUUACUAAU
Molecule: RNA transcript, 4335 nt
Organism: Triplophysa dalaica
Lineage: Eukaryota; Metazoa; Chordata; Actinopteri; Cypriniformes; Nemacheilidae
Exons: 4
Source: RefSeq, a predicted model, not a curated record